This 75-nucleotide transfer RNA is filed under the name Streptomyces galbus. RNAcentral describes it as "tRNA-Val". It matches the Rfam family "tRNA". Rfam says of the family: Transfer RNA (tRNA) molecules are approximately 80 nucleotides in length. RNAcentral also lists the same sequence under 2 other names. Lineage: Bacteria; Bacillati; Actinomycetota; Actinomycetes; Kitasatosporales; Streptomycetaceae. The record is from RNAcentral.
GGGCGCGUAGCUCAGGGGUAGAGCGCCUGCCUUACAAGCAGGAUGUCGGCGGUUCGAAACCGUCCGCGCCCACCG